CAUGGCUACACUAAUAUAAAAGCGCAUAUACCUGGCCGCCAAUUUCUUCAUUCCUCCUACAACGCUAGGUUUUCACUUCACCCCUCUGCUUCACUCGUAAUUACCAUUCUACCAUUCUUCUAACAAUCCCCGCCGGUCACCGGAAAACCGAUACUCGCCACCACUCCGCUGCCGCCGCCGCUCUCGGUCUCCGUCUCCGAUUCAAGUAACAAAUCCAUUUGCAAGCAAUCAUGAUGCCAUCACCGAGAACUCACCGGCGAGGUAACGACGAGAAGAAUCGAAAGGAUAUGAGGUUAUCGGAGAAAUCCAAGUCGUUUCACGGCCAGAGCUCAGGGAGUAGUAAAACGGAGUUGCUGCGAAGGCCGAAGACGGUACCGGG
RNAcentral lists this long non-coding RNA (379 nucleotides) under Solanum tuberosum (potato). Its description in RNAcentral is "long non-coding RNA (STUB_LNC001874)". The record is from RNAcentral. Lineage: Eukaryota; Viridiplantae; Streptophyta; Magnoliopsida; Solanales; Solanaceae.